AACGACCUCCAUUUCAGAAAAAAAAUUAGCCUUCGUCGGAGAAGUCCUUUUCUCCAAAUGAAGAAAUUAAAAUAUUCUCCUUUUCUUCAACCAAAAGUGCUUUUGCCAGGUUAAUUUCCAUUUUUCUCCCCAAAAACCGUUCUUCCCUCUGGUUCUUUGCCUGAGAUAUCAAGUUCUUUGACUUUGUUUCUUUUCCUCUGGUUCUUUGUUCCUCUUCCACCGUUUCAGGGUCUGUUUGUGCGGCUACUUUGGCAAGGAAUGGAAUUUCAGUGACCCUUUUUGACUCUGCCAAGGGUCCUGGUGGCCGUAUGUCUCAAAGAAGAGAGAUAAGUGAAGAUGGGAGAGAGCUGUUAUUCGGUCAUGGUGCUCCUUAUUUCACAGUGACAAAUCCCGAUGUGUUGAGUGUUGUUACUGAGUGGGAAUCAAGAGGCCUUGUUGCUGAAUGGAAAUCGAAUUUUGGGUCUUUUGAUUGUUUCACCAACAAAAUUGUCAACACUGAACACCAGUUCUCUGUUUGAUACACUGGAAAUUCUAAAAUCUGGAGAAAGAUUAGCUGCUUCAGAAGUGGGACUACUUGCUACAGUUGGUGUUACUAUGGUGAAGGUACUACAUUGCCUACUGUUUUCAUUUUAAUGACUUCUCACAAGCUUGUUCAGCUUCCUAAAACAAAAUUUGUGUAAGGUUAAAUUCUCUAAUUAGGCUUGAAGGUUCUUCCUGAAGCACCUCCCUUCCUAAAGACGGAUCCAGUUCGGCCAGAAUUUUAUCGUGCUACUAUCAGAUGGGAGGCUAAUGAUGGAUUGGGGAGUGCAGGGUAAAUUUAGAGUUAUAGAUUCCUUGAUCAUAGGUCUCCUCACUUUUUCGAUUUGUUGUUCAGUUAGAUCCUUCUUGGACCUAAUUUAUCUGCAAGUGUCAUGGUUUUUGCUAUUUUAUUCUACUUUGUAAUGCUAUUAUAAUUGUGUUAAGAAGCAAUUUGUUUCUUUCGGAUUUUAGAUUUGUCGCUGAGAGCACUGGUCACCAAAUGAGUAGUCGGCUUCUGAGUAUGAAGUCAGUUAAUGCUUUGAAGUUAUGUUUGGUUAUAAUCCGUAAAGAAACUUUCUUGCUAAAUGAGGAAAAAGUAUGAAGCAGGGUAUUUUUAUUUCGCUGCAUAUGAAGUGGAAUUGCCUUUCUAGGGGUGGCUGUUUGUAUACAUGUCAUAUGGGGGUUAAGGAUGCCAUAGUGAGGUAACACUACUAUGCUAGCGAGUAAGAUGAGAGCCACUGGCUGACAAUUUCUUAUUUCCUUUGGAUGCUCAACACAUAUGACAUGCUGCAAAAUUGUUUCUUGCCAAUGAUUUAUUUUAUGUUCUUAUGAACAAAGUUCGACUCUGAUCUUUGAUGUAGUUUUAUGUCAUUAUCAUGAAAUUUAGGCAGAACCUAAGAACUAUUUCUUUGUUUAUGAGGCUCCUUUGUUAGUGGCUUAUUGGCAAUGAUCUUUUCUGGAUGAUUAUUAUUCAACCAUCUAUUUAUA
RNA transcript from Gossypium raimondii (Peruvian cotton), 1506 nucleotides. RefSeq lists it as uncharacterized. The record is from RefSeq and is a predicted model, not a curated record. The transcript is spliced from 4 exons. Lineage: Eukaryota; Viridiplantae; Streptophyta; Magnoliopsida; Malvales; Malvaceae.